UACGGGGGGGGCAAGCGUUGUUCGGAAUUAUUGGGCGUAAAGGGUUCGUAGGUGGCCGGCUAAGUCAGACGUGAAAUCCCUCAGCUUAACUGGGGAACUGCGUCUGAAACUGAUCGGCUUGAGUGCAGGAGAGGAACGCGGAAUUCCAGGUGUAGCGGUGAAAUGCGUAGAUAUCUGGAGGAACACCGGUGGCGAAGGCGGCGUUCUGGACUGCUACUGACACUGAGGAACGAAAGCCAGGGGAGCAAACGGG
RNAcentral lists this ribosomal RNA (253 nucleotides) under uncultured bacterium. RNAcentral's name for it is "partial 16S ribosomal RNA". It matches the Rfam family "Bacterial small subunit ribosomal RNA", at positions 524 to 776 of the family's 1533-position model. The record is from RNAcentral.